Passer domesticus (house sparrow) is the source of this 1337-nucleotide long non-coding RNA. RefSeq lists it as uncharacterized. Lineage: Eukaryota; Metazoa; Chordata; Aves; Passeriformes; Passeridae. The transcript has 3 exons. The record is from RefSeq and is a predicted model, not a curated record.
UCCGAUAUCUGCUUUACACGGGUGAAAACAAAUUCUUGCACCAAGAGAGCAGUUAUGAGUAAUUAUUUUGAUAAUUUUCAGGAUAUAACUGAUUAAGUGGAGAAAAUAUAUUCCCUUAUAGCUAGAAGUGGUGCCAACAACUUAUUCCAUAAAAUUAUGUCCAGUAUAUAGCAUCUAAGCUGGUUGGUUGAAUUCUAUUAUAAUAAGAGAAAUAUGUUAGAAAUGGCACAUAAAAAUCUCUGGACUGUGUAACUAUUCUGUCAAGGCAACAGAAUAUCUUUUGAAAUCUAAGGUGACAGAGUUUGAUACAUGAAGAUUCAUAUUCAUAAAAGAUUUUUAGGCAAAAUAGACAACAGGAAUGGAUCAGUAUAUUCUGUCAGGAUAAUGGCUGAGUCAUGUACAGUGCAGCAUUACUGUCAAAGAUUGCUUGCACUGUCUACUUGUUCUAUAGCAAGUGAAAAUCUGUUUGAAAAUAUAUGGACGAAAGGAGAGAGUGAAACAGAAGGCCUGAAUUUCUGUUGAAACACUACAGCAUAUGGGAAACUACAAGACAUCAAAGGCAGGACUGGAACUUCAGCAGCUGGGUCACUGGCUCUGUCUUUUGUUUCUGAAGGUGGAAUCCUGACAUCAGCUGAGUUUUCAAAGAUGGUUUUCAGCACACAUUCCUUGCUUGUGACUCUAAAUUAUGAAAUAUUUGUCUGAAUUUUUUCUAUUGCACAUGAAAAUAUACAGAAUAGAUAUCAUAUUGGACUGAAUUUUUGAGCACUAAUUUUAUCAUAAUCCAGCAGUUUGCAUUGCUGUUACAGACAGGUAGUGGUUGUAGGCAAACAAAACUGUCUCAAGGUACUUGCUGCACCUUUUGAUGACUACCAGCAGUUUUGGAAAUAUACUGCUCAUGCAUUUUAAUGCAUUUUGGUGACAUAUUUGUUGUAGGAAGGUCCACACUGAAGGAGUUCAUGAAGGGCCAUCUCCUGUGGCUGGCACCCCACAGUGAACAGGGAAGCAGGGUGAGGAGGAAGGAGCAUCAGAAACAAUGUACAUUGAACAGGCUGCAAUCCCCAUUCUCCACACCCCUGUGCUUCCCCUGGGGGAGAAGAGAGAAGAAUUGGGAGUGAAAAUGAGCCUGAGAAGAGAGAUGGGCUGGUUUCGUUUGGGAUGGAGACUGUUUUCUUCAUAGAAGCUCUUAUGGUGCUGCAUUUUUUCAACAGACCUUUGUUUUACCUACAGCUGAGCAUCAGGGAAUUUCCUGCCUCCCACUCUGCCCCACUUGUGAGGAGGCUGGGGGUGCACAAGAGGCUGGGAGGUGACACAGUGGGGACAGCUGACCCCAGCAGACC